RNAcentral lists this transfer RNA (85 nucleotides) under Bacillota bacterium. RNAcentral's name for it is "Firmicutes bacterium tRNA-Leu". It matches the Rfam family "tRNA". From Rfam's summary of the family: Transfer RNA (tRNA) molecules are approximately 80 nucleotides in length. The record is from RNAcentral. RNAcentral also lists the same sequence under 1 other name. Lineage: Bacteria; Bacillati; Bacillota.
GCGGCGGUGGCGGAAUCGGCAGACGCGCUAGCUUGAGGGGCUAGUUCCCAUUGCGGGAGUGGAGGUUCAAAUCCUCUCCGCCGCA